GUGUAGUCGCCUCCUGGAAGGCUGAGUCCAAAUUGGUCCACACCACAUGGUGCAAAGCUGGGCAGGAGCCCACGCCUGAGGAAGCACUGAGCUCAAAAUGGUUAAAUCACUUCUUCAAGGCAUCACAUACAAGAGACAACAAAAGAGAGGACGAAACAGCGGCAAGGUGACUUGGAUUGAAUUCCCUUUUC
Molecule: long non-coding RNA, 191 nt
Organism: Eptesicus fuscus (big brown bat)
Lineage: Eukaryota; Metazoa; Chordata; Mammalia; Chiroptera; Vespertilionidae
Exons: 3
Source: RefSeq, a predicted model, not a curated record